RNAcentral lists this ribosomal RNA (298 nucleotides) under uncultured Mycoplasma sp. RNAcentral's name for it is "partial 16S ribosomal RNA". It matches the Rfam family "Bacterial small subunit ribosomal RNA", at positions 1001 to 1323 of the family's 1533-position model. Lineage: Bacteria; Bacillati; Mycoplasmatota; Mollicutes; Mycoplasmatales; Mycoplasmataceae. The record is from RNAcentral.
UAGAAAUAUAAUGGAGGUUAUUGUGGUGACAGAUGGUGCAUGGUUGUCGUCAGCUCGUGUCAUGAGAUGUUUGGUUAAGUCCCACAACGAGCGCAACCCCACUCUUUAGUUAAUUGUCUAAAGUGACAGAAGUGUAAGCUAUAGGAAGGAUGGGAUCACGUCAAAUCAUCAUGCCUCUUACAUCUUGGGCUGCAAACGUGCUACAAUGGCAGAAACAAUGUGUUGCAAUUUAGCGAUAAUGAGCAAAUCACCAAAUUCUGUCUCAGUUCGGAUAAAAGGCUGCAAUUCGCCUUUUUGA